This 253-nucleotide ribosomal RNA is filed under the name uncultured bacterium. Its description in RNAcentral is "partial 16S ribosomal RNA". It matches the Rfam family "Bacterial small subunit ribosomal RNA", at positions 524 to 776 of the family's 1533-position model. The record is from RNAcentral.
UACGUAGGGGGCAAGCGUUGUCCGGAAUCAUUGGGCGUAAAGCGCGUGUAGGCGGUCCGGUAAGUCCGUUGUGAAAGUCAGGGGCUCAACCCUUGAAUGCCGGCGGAUACUGUCGGGCUAGAGUCCGGAAGGGGCGAGUGGAAUUCCCGGUGUAGCGGUGAAAUGCGCAGAUAUCGGGAGGAACACCUAUGGCGAAGGCAGCUCGCUGGGACGGUACUGACGCUGAGACGCGAAAGCGUGGGGAGCAAACAGG